This 989-nucleotide ribosomal RNA is filed under the name uncultured bacterium. Its description in RNAcentral is "bacterial SSU rRNA". It matches the Rfam family "Bacterial small subunit ribosomal RNA", at positions 60 to 1056 of the family's 1533-position model. The record is from RNAcentral.
AGUCGAGCGAGAAGCGUUGGUUCCGUAAGGUUCCGACGUGGAAAGCGGUGAACGGGUGCGUAACACGUGAGAAACCUGCCCCCCAGACCGGGAUAGCCCAGGGAAACUUGGAUUAAUACCGGAUACUCUCUUUGGAUCGCAUGAUCCGUUGAGGAAAUGGUCCGCUGCUGGGGGAUGGUCUCGCGGCCUAUCAGGUAGUUGGUGAGGUAACGGCUCACCAAGCCGAAGACGGGUAGCUGGUCUGAGAGGACGAUCAGCCACACUGGAACUGAGACACGGUCCAGACUCCUACGGGAGGCAGCAGCAGGGAAUAUUGCACAAUGGGCGAAAGCCUGAUGCAGCGACACCGCGUGCGGGAUGAAGGCCUUCGGGUUGUAAACCGCUUUCAGGAGGGAAGAAAAUGACGGUACCUCCAGAAGAAGGCCCGGCCAACUACGUGCCAGCAGCCGCGGUAAUACGUAGGGGCCAAACGUUGUCCGGAAUUAUUGGGCGUAAAGGGCCCGUAGGCGGUUCAGCAAGUCGGUCGUGAAAGCCCGGGGCUCAACUCCGGGAUGCCGGUCGAAACUGUUGUGACUUGAGUUCGGUAGAGGUGAGUGGAAUUCUCAGUGUAGCGGUGGAAUGCGCAGAUAUUGAGAGGAACACCAUUAGCGAAGGCGGCUCACUGGGCCGAUACUGACGCUGAGGAGCGAAAGCGUGGGGAGCAAACAGGAUUAGAUACCCUGGUAGUCCACGCCGUAAACGAUGAACACUAGGUGUAGCGGAUUUAUUCAUGUCUGCUGUGCCGUAGCUAACGCAUUAAGUGUUCCGCCUGGGGAGUACGGCCGCAAGGCUAAAACUCAAAGGAAUUGACGGGGCCCCGCACAAGCGGCGGAGCAUGCGGCUUAAUUCGAUGCAACCCGAAGAACCUUACCUGGGUUUGACAUCAUGGGUCUAGCUGUGGAAACACAGUGUGCUUACGCGCCCAUGACAGGUGGUGCAUGGCUGUCGUC